UUGGAGGGCAAGUCUGGUGCCAGCAGCCGCGGUAAUUCCAGCUCCAAUAGCGUAUAUUAAAGUUGUUGCAGUUAAAAAGCUCGUAGUUGAAUUUCGGGAUCAAUUUAUCGGUCGUGCCUACGGUAUGAACUGGUACAAUUGGUUUCUCCCUUCUGACGAAGCAUGAUGCCAUUAAUUUGGUGUCGUGGGGAAUCAGGACUGUUACUUUGAAAAAAUUAGAGUGUUUAAAGCAAGCAUUAGCUUGAAUACAUUAGCAUGGAAUAAUGAAAUAGGACGUUUGAUCCUAUUUCGUUGGUUUCUAGGAUCGACGUAAUGAUUAAUAGGGAUAGUUGGGGGCAUUAGUAUUCAAUUGUCAGAGGUGAAAUUCUUGGAUUUAUUGAAGACUAACUACUGCGAAAGCAUUUGCCAAGGAUGUUUUCAUUAAUCAAGAACGAAAGUUAGGGGAUCGAAGACGAUCAGAUACCGUCGUAGUCUUAACCAUAAACUAUGCCGACUAGGGAUCGGAUGAUGUUAAUUUUUUAAUGACUCAUUCGGCGCCUUACGGGAAAC
Molecule: ribosomal RNA, 549 nt
Filed under: uncultured Glomeromycotina
Lineage: Eukaryota; Fungi; Glomeromycota
Description: SSU rRNA
Rfam family: Eukaryotic small subunit ribosomal RNA
Source: RNAcentral